ACUAAGCGUACACGGUGGAUGCCCUGGCAGUCAGAGGCGAUGAAGGACGUGCUAAUCUGCGAUAAGCGUCGGUAAGGUGAUAUGAACCGUUAUAACCGGCGAUUUCCGAAUGGGGAAACCCAGUGUGAUUCGUCACACUAUCAUUAACUGAAUCCAUAGGUUAAUGAGGCGAACCGGGGGAACUGAAACAUCUAAGUACCCCGAGGAAAAGAAAUCAACCGAGAUUCCCCCAGUAGCGGCGAGCGAACGGGGAGCAGCCCAGAGCCUGAAUCAGUGUGUGUGUUAGUGGAAGCGUCUGGAAAGGCGCGCGAUACAGGGUGACAGCCCCGUACACAAAAAUGCACAUGCUGUGAGCUCGAUGAGUAGGGCGGGACACGUGGUAUCCUGUCUGAAUAUGGGGGGACCAUCCUCCAAGGCUAAAUACUCCUGACUGACCGAUAGUGAACCAGUACCGUGAGGGAAAGGCGAAAAGAACCCCGGCGAGGGGAGUGAAAAAGAACCUGAAACCGUGUACGUACAAGCAGUGGGAGCACAGAGCAAUCUGUGUGACUGCGUACCUUUUGUAUAAUGGGUCAGCGACUUAUAUUCUGUAGCAAGGUUAACCGAAUAGGGGAGCCGAAGGGAAACCGAGUCUUAACUGGGCGUUAAGUUGCAGGGUAUAGACCCGAAACCCGGUGAUCUAGCCAUGGGCAGGUUGAAGGUUGGGUAACACUAACUGGAGGACCGAACCGACUAAUGUUGAAAAAUUAGCGGAUGACUUGUGGCUGGGGGUGAAAGGCCAAUCAAACCGGGAGAUAGCUGGUUCUCCCCGAAAGCUAUUUAGGUAGCGCCUCGUGAAUUCAUCUCCGGGGGUAGAGCACUGUUUCGGCAAGGGGGUCAUCCCGACUUACCAACCCGAUGCAAACUGCGAAUACCGGAGAAUGUUAUCACGGGAGACACACGGCGGGUGCUAACGUCCGUCGUGAAGAGGGAAACAACCCAGACCGCCAGCUAAGGUCCCAAAGUCAUGGUUAAGUGGGAAACGAUGUGGGAAGGCCCAGACAGCCAGGAUGUUGGCUUAGAAGCAGCCAUCAUUUAAAGAAAGCGUAAUAGCUCACUGGUCGAGUCGGCCUGCGCGGAAGAUGUAACGGGGCUAAACCAUGCACCGAAGCUGCGGCAGCGACGCUUAGGCGUUGUUGGGUAGGGGAGCGUUCUGUAAGCCUGCGAAGGUGUACUGUGAGGUAUGCUGGAGGUAUCAGAAGUGCGAAUGCUGACAUAAGUAACGAUAAAGCGGGUGAAAAGCCCGCUCGCCGGAAGACCAAGGGUUCCUGUCCAACGUUAAUCGGGGCAGGGUGAGUCGACCCCUAAGGCGAGGCCGAAAGGCGUAGUCGAUGGGAAACAGGUUAAUAUUCCUGUACUUGGUGUUACUGCGAAGGGGGGACGGAGAAGGCUAUGUUGGCCGGGCGACGGUUGUCCCGGUUUAAGCGUGUAGGCUGGUUUUCCAGGCAAAUCCGGAAAAUCAAGGCUGAGGCGUGAUGACGAGGCACUACGGUGCUGAAGCAACAAAUGCCCUGCUUCCAGGAAAAGCCUCUAAGCAUCAGGUAACAUCAAAUCGUACCCCAAACCGACACAGGUGGUCAGGUAGAGAAUACCAAGGCGCUUGAGAGAACUCGGGUGAAGGAACUAGGCAAAAUGGUGCCGUAACUUCGGGAGAAGGCACGCUGAUAUGUAGGUGAAGCGACUUGCUCGUGGAGCUGAAAUCAGUCGAAGAUACCAGCUGGCUGCAACUGUUUAUUAAAAACACAGCACUGUGCAAACACGAAAGUGGACGUAUACGGUGUGACGCCUGCCCGGUGCCGGAAGGUUAAUUGAUGGGGUCAGCGCAAGCGAAGCUCUUGAUCGAAGCCCCGGUAAACGGCGGCCGUAACUAUAACGGUCCUAAGGUAGCGAAAUUCCUUGUCGGGUAAGUUCCGACCUGCACGAAUGGCGUAAUGAUGGCCAGGCUGUCUCCACCCGAGACUCAGUGAAAUUGAACUCGCUGUGAAGAUGCAGUGUACCCGCGGCAAGACGGAAAGACCCCGUGAACCUUUACUAUAGCUUGACACUGAACAUUGAGCCUUGAUGUGUAGGAUAGGUGGGAGGCUUUGAAGUGUGGACGCCAGUCUGCAUGGAGCCGACCUUGAAAUACCACCCUUUAAUGUUUGAUGUUCUAACGUUGACCCGUAAUCCGGGUUGCGGACAGUGUCUGGUGGGUAGUUUGACUGGGGCGGUCUCCUCCUAAAGAGUAACGGAGGAGCACGAAGGUUGGCUAAUCCUGGUCGGACAUCAGGAGGUUAGUGCAAUGGCAUAAGCCAGCUUGACUGCGAGCGUGACGGCGCGAGCAGGUGCGAAAGCAGGUCAUAGUGAUCCGGUGGUUCUGAAUGGAAGGGCCAUCGCUCAACGGAUAAAAGGUACUCCGGGGAUAACAGGCUGAUACCGCCCAAGAGUUCAUAUCGACGGCGGUGUUUGGCACCUCGAUGUCGGCUCAUCACAUCCUGGGGCUGAAGUAGGUCCCAAGGGUAUGGCUGUUCGCCAUUUAAAGUGGUACGCGAGCUGGGUUUAGAACGUCGUGAGACAGUUCGGUCCCUAUCUGCCGUGGGCGCUGGAGAACUGAGGGGGGCUGCUCCUAGUACGAGAGGACCGGAGUGGACGCAUCACUGGUGUUCGGGUUGUCAUGCCAAUGGCACUGCCCGGUAGCUAAAUGCGGAAGAGAUAAGUGCUGAAAGCAUCUAAGCACGAAACUUGCCCCGAGAUGAGUUCUCCCUGACCCUUUAAGGGUCCUGAAGGAACGUUGAAGACGACGACGUUGAUAGGCCGGGUGUGUAAGCGCAGCGAUGCGUUGAGCUAACCGGUACUAAUGAACCGUGAGGCUUAACC
This 2895-nucleotide ribosomal RNA is filed under the name Escherichia coli. RNAcentral's name for it is "bacterial LSU rRNA". It matches the Rfam family "Bacterial large subunit ribosomal RNA". RNAcentral also lists the same sequence under 1 other name. Lineage: Bacteria; Pseudomonadati; Pseudomonadota; Gammaproteobacteria; Enterobacterales; Enterobacteriaceae. The record is from RNAcentral.